Molecule: ribosomal RNA, 2904 nt
Filed under: Escherichia coli
Lineage: Bacteria; Pseudomonadati; Pseudomonadota; Gammaproteobacteria; Enterobacterales; Enterobacteriaceae
Description: bacterial LSU rRNA
Rfam family: Bacterial large subunit ribosomal RNA
Source: RNAcentral
UUAAGCGACUAAGCGUACACGGUGGAUGCCCUGGCAGUCAGAGGCGAUGAAGGACGUGCUAAUCUGCGAUAAGCGUCGGUAAGGUGAUAUGAACCGUUAUAACCGGCGAUUUCCGAAUGGGGAAACCCAGUGUGAUUCGUCACACUAUCAUUAACUGAAUCCAUAGGUUAAUGAGGCGAACCGGGGGAACUGAAACAUCUAAGUACCCCGAGGAAAAGAAAUCAACCGAGAUUCCCCCAGUAGCGGCGAGCGAACGGGGAGCAGCCCAGAGCCUGAAUCAGUGUGUGUGUUAGUGGAAGCGUCUGGAAAGGCGCGCGAUACAGGGUGACAGCCCCGUACACAAAAAUGCACAUGCUGUGAGCUCGAUGAGUAGGGCGGGACACGUGGUAUCCUGUCUGAAUAUGGGGGGACCAUCCUCCAAGGCUAAAUACUCCUGACUGACCGAUAGUGAACCAGUACCGUGAGGGAAAGGCGAAAAGAACCCCGGCGAGGGGAGUGAAAAAGAACCUGAAACCGUGUACGUACAAGCAGUGGGAGCACGCUUAGGCGUGUGACUGCGUACCUUUUGUAUAAUGGGUCAGCGACUUAUAUUCUGUAGCAAGGUUAACCGAAUAGGGGAGCCGAAGGGAAACCGAGUCUUAACUGGGCGUUAAGUUGCAGGGUAUAGACCCGAAACCCGGUGAUCUAGCCAUGGGCAGGUUGAAGGUUGGGUAACACUAACUGGAGGACCGAACCGACUAAUGUUGAAAAAUUAGCGGAUGACUUGUGGCUGGGGGUGAAAGGCCAAUCAAACCGGGAGAUAGCUGGUUCUCCCCGAAAGCUAUUUAGGUAGCGCCUCGUGAAUUCAUCUCCGGGGGUAGAGCACUGUUUCGGCAAGGGGGUCAUCCCGACUUACCAACCCGAUGCAAACUGCGAAUACCGGAGAAUGUUAUCACGGGAGACACACGGCGGGUGCUAACGUCCGUCGUGAAGAGGGAAACAACCCAGACCGCCAGCUAAGGUCCCAAAGUCAUGGUUAAGUGGGAAACGAUGUGGGAAGGCCCAGACAGCCAGGAUGUUGGCUUAGAAGCAGCCAUCAUUUAAAGAAAGCGUAAUAGCUCACUGGUCGAGUCGGCCUGCGCGGAAGAUGUAACGGGGCUAAACCAUGCACCGAAGCUGCGGCAGCGACGCUUAUGCGUUGUUGGGUAGGGGAGCGUUCUGUAAGCCUGCGAAGGUGUGCUGUGAGGCAUGCUGGAGGUAUCAGAAGUGCGAAUGCUGACAUAAGUAACGAUAAAGCGGGUGAAAAGCCCGCUCGCCGGAAGACCAAGGGUUCCUGUCCAACGUUAAUCGGGGCAGGGUGAGUCGACCCCUAAGGCGAGGCCGAAAGGCGUAGUCGAUGGGAAACAGGUUAAUAUUCCUGUACUUGGUGUUACUGCGAAGGGGGGACGGAGAAGGCUAUGUUGGCCGGGCGACGGUUGUCCCGGUUUAAGCGUGUAGGCUGGUUUUCCAGGCAAAUCCGGAAAAUCAAGGCUGAGGCGUGAUGACGAGGCACUACGGUGCUGAAGCAACAAAUGCCCUGCUUCCAGGAAAAGCCUCUAAGCAUCAGGUAACAUCAAAUCGUACCCCAAACCGACACAGGUGGUCAGGUAGAGAAUACCAAGGCGCUUGAGAGAACUCGGGUGAAGGAACUAGGCAAAAUGGUGCCGUAACUUCGGGAGAAGGCACGCUGAUAUGUAGGUGAAGUCCCUCGCGGAUGGAGCUGAAAUCAGUCGAAGAUACCAGCUGGCUGCAACUGUUUAUUAAAAACACAGCACUGUGCAAACACGAAAGUGGACGUAUACGGUGUGACGCCUGCCCGGUGCCGGAAGGUUAAUUGAUGGGGUUAGCCGCAAGGCGAAGCUCUUGAUCGAAGCCCCGGUAAACGGCGGCCGUAACUAUAACGGUCCUAAGGUAGCGAAAUUCCUUGUCGGGUAAGUUCCGACCUGCACGAAUGGCGUAAUGAUGGCCAGGCUGUCUCCACCCGAGACUCAGUGAAAUUGAACUCGCUGUGAAGAUGCAGUGUACCCGCGGCAAGACGGAAAGACCCCGUGAACCUUUACUAUAGCUUGACACUGAACAUUGAGCCUUGAUGUGUAGGAUAGGUGGGAGGCUUUGAAGUGUGGACGCCAGUCUGCAUGGAGCCGACCUUGAAAUACCACCCUUUAAUGUUUGAUGUUCUAACGUUGACCCGUAAUCCGGGUUGCGGACAGUGUCUGGUGGGUAGUUUGACUGGGGCGGUCUCCUCCUAAAGAGUAACGGAGGAGCACGAAGGUUGGCUAAUCCUGGUCGGACAUCAGGAGGUUAGUGCAAUGGCAUAAGCCAGCUUGACUGCGAGCGUGACGGCGCGAGCAGGUGCGAAAGCAGGUCAUAGUGAUCCGGUGGUUCUGAAUGGAAGGGCCAUCGCUCAACGGAUAAAAGGUACUCCGGGGAUAACAGGCUGAUACCGCCCAAGAGUUCAUAUCGACGGCGGUGUUUGGCACCUCGAUGUCGGCUCAUCACAUCCUGGGGCUGAAGUAGGUCCCAAGGGUAUGGCUGUUCGCCAUUUAAAGUGGUACGCGAGCUGGGUUUAGAACGUCGUGAGACAGUUCGGUCCCUAUCUGCCGUGGGCGCUGGAGAACUGAGGGGGGCUGCUCCUAGUACGAGAGGACCGGAGUGGACGCAUCACUGGUGUUCGGGUUGUCAUGCCAAUGGCACUGCCCGGUAGCUAAAUGCGGAAGAGAUAAGUGCUGAAAGCAUCUAAGCACGAAACUUGCCCCGAGAUGAGUUCUCCCUGACUCCUUGAGAGUCCUGAAGGAACGUUGAAGACGACGACGUUGAUAGGCCGGGUGUGUAAGCGCAGCGAUGCGUUGAGCUAACCGGUACUAAUGAACCGUGAGGCUUAACCUU